Molecule: ribosomal RNA, 772 nt
Filed under: Citharoides macrolepis (twospot largescale flounder)
Lineage: Eukaryota; Metazoa; Chordata; Actinopteri; Pleuronectiformes; Citharidae
Description: partial 12S ribosomal RNA
Rfam family: Bacterial small subunit ribosomal RNA
Source: RNAcentral
CAAAAGCUUGGUUCUGACUUUACUAUCGCCUUUAGCUGCACUUACACAUGCAAGUAUCCGCGCCCCUGUGAGAAUGCCCACAACCCCCCGCCCGGGGAGUUUGGAGCCGGUAUCAGGCACACUCCUUAAGCCCACAACACCUUGCUCAGCCACACCCCCAAGGGACUUCAGCAGUGAUAAACAUUGGGCCAUAAGUGAAAACUUGACUCAAUUAAAGCUAUUUAGGGCCGGUCAAAAUUCGUGCCAGCCACCGCGGUUAAACGAAAGUAGCCCGAGCUGAUAGACAACGGCACAAAAGGUGGCUAGGGAACACAUAAACUAAAGCCGAACACUCACUCCUCACUGUAUUAACGUACGCGAAGAGCAUGAAGAUCAUUUACGAAAGUAGCUUUAUUUCACCUGAAACCCACGAAAGCUAAGAAACAAACUGGGAUUAGAUACCCCACUAUGCUUAGCCCUAAACAAUGAUCAUACCCCCAAAUAUAUCUGCCAGGGGAGUACGAACAAUAGUUUAAAACCCAAAGGACUUGGCGGUGCUUAGACCCCCUAGAGGAGCCUGUUAUAUAACCGAUAAUCCCCGUUAAACCUCACCCUCUCUUGCCAGAUCAGCUUAUAUACCGCCGUCGCAAGCCCACCCUGCAAAGGAUAAACAGUGGGCAAAAUUGGCACCGCCCCAGACGUCAGGUCGAGGUGUAGCACAUGAGAGGGGAUCUAAUGGGCUACACUCACUGUCAACAGUACUUACGGAAGUGUCAUUUAAACAUGAAACUGA